RNAcentral lists this ribosomal RNA (792 nucleotides) under uncultured bacterium. RNAcentral describes it as "bacterial SSU rRNA". It matches the Rfam family "Bacterial small subunit ribosomal RNA", at positions 1 to 806 of the family's 1533-position model. The record is from RNAcentral.
GAAUUCGCCCUUAGAGUUUGAUCCUGGCUCAGGAUGAACGCUGACAGAAUGCUUAACACAUGCAAGUCGAUUCGAUUUACCUUCGGGUAAUGAGGAUGGCGGACGGGUGAGUAACGCGUAAGGAACUUGCCUCUUGGACUGGGACAACUGUUGGAAACGACAGCUAAUACCGGAUAUUAUGAGAUUCUCGCAUGAGAAACUUAUGAAAGCUAUAUGCGCCAAGAGAGAGCCUUGCGUUCCAUUAGCUAGUUGGUGGGGUAACGGCCCACCAAGGCGACGAUGGAUAGCCGGCCUGAGAGGGUGAACGGCCACAAGGGGACUGAGACACGGCCCUUACUCCUACGGGAGGCAGCAGUGGGGAAUAUUGGACAAUGGACCAAAAGUCUGAUCCAGCAAUUCUGUGUGCACGAUGAAGGUCUUCGGAUUGUAAAGUGCUUUCAGUUGGGAAGAAGAAAGUGACGGUACCAACAGAAGAAGCGACGGCUAAAUACGUGCCAGCAGCCGCGGUAAUACGUAUGUCGCAAGCGUUAUCCGGAUUUAUUGGGCGUAAAGCGCGUCUAGGCGGAAAAAUAAGUCUGAUGUUAAAAUGCGGGGCUCAACUCCGUAUUGCGUUGGAAACUGUUUUUCUAGAGUACUGGAGAGGUGGGCGGAACUACAAGUGUAGAGGUGAAAUUCGUAGAUAUUUGUAGGAAUGCCGAUGGAGAAGUCAGCUCACUGGACAGAUACUGACGCUGAAGCGCGAAAGCGUGGGGAGCAAACAGAAUUAGAUACCCUGGUAGUCCACGCCGUAAA